Molecule: long non-coding RNA, 705 nt
Organism: Homo sapiens (human)
Lineage: Eukaryota; Metazoa; Chordata; Mammalia; Primates; Hominidae
Gene: CEROX1
Product: cytoplasmic endogenous regulator of oxidative phosphorylation 1
Source: Ensembl
ACACACACACAGCCCGUCUCGCGCCUGAGGUCUCGCCCGCAGGCCGGUGGCGCGGGGUCAGCUGCUGCCUGCGGUCCAGGACAGGGUCGGUUCCGCCGCGCAGCGCCCAGGCCCAGCUCGUCCAGAGUCUGCGGACAGCGCACGUCCAGAGCAGACAUCGCCCACUCGGGCUCACAGUGCCAUCCGGGUGAGGACCUCCGUGGAGAGCUCUCUUUGCCAAAGAAAAGCAGUUGCAUUAGGUCUGCGAGCAGGCAGGGUGGCCUCUUCCUGGCUCCCCAUCCACCAAGGAAGCUUCAAGUCCCUGGGACACAGGCACUUUCCCACACAGGAUGGAGCCGGGCCACCCUCACAGCUCCUGCCCUGCAGACGCUGGCCUUGUGGAGGGAGGCAGGCAGCAGGAGCAGUGCUUUCUGGGCCUCUGUAGCCAGAGCUGGCCCUGCUGCAGCUUACGUCUGCCUGCAGCCCAGACGUCCUCCUGGUCCUCCUGAUGCCCCCGACCUCCACGGAGGACGAGCAUUUCCAGCCCAGCCCUCCCCAUCUUCACCUCGCACUCCCCUGACACACUGGGAGCCUCCUGAUCCGUGAACCCGCGCUGGCGGGAGUAGCUACUGACCGCUGGGGACCCCUGCCCAGGCUGUUCGCAUGUGGAAAGGAUUCAGGGAGCAGGCGAUGCCCAAAGCGUGGAGACCAGCACUGCUCUCUCCC